AUCUUUCUGCCGUCACCCACGACCUCGCGGUCACCUCCUCCACAAAGCAAACGGCGGAUGGCCUCUCUGUAACUCAUCGUCCCGCUCACCGUGCUCGAGCGCGGCAGCCAACGGCCUCUCUUGCUCUCUCUCUCAAGCUCUCCAACCCUCCUCUCUGUCUGUCUUCCCCCCUUCCCUCCCGUUUUUGGCCUCGUGGCUGGACAACGUCACGGCUAAGAUAAAUUCGGGGAUCAAUUCGAAGCUCUCCUUCCUUCCUCCAAAUAGGAUUCUACACCAGUGACUCGACCGGCUUUUUAUUAAAGCCGGCUAUGGAUUGGCCGACGUCAUUAGCCUUCGGUGGUUCGAAGGCAGUUCGGCUACCUCCCGU
RNAcentral lists this long non-coding RNA (367 nucleotides) under Phoenix dactylifera (date palm). Its description in RNAcentral is "long non-coding RNA (PDAC_LNC017524)". The record is from RNAcentral. Lineage: Eukaryota; Viridiplantae; Streptophyta; Magnoliopsida; Arecales; Arecaceae.